GACAUUCUUUUUGUGUACCUAGCUGGCUCAAUGUCACCAUAGCAAAUAAUGGCAAAAAUACAAAAAAAAUUAAAAUAUUAUUAACUUAAUAAAAUCAUCCACUACAUAAUCAUUCAUUAUCUUUACAAUUAAUCAUCUAAAACUACCACAGUUCUUCAAUCAAAGUAUAUAUCUACAUAUAUAGAGAGAGUACACUUCAUAAUUUCGUCCCUUGUCUUCCGUAAACGUAGCACGGAAAUUUGAUACCCAGUAUUGCAAGGCAGAUCGUAGAAGCAGUCUUCCUGCACAUAUUUAAAAAUAAUAGCAAGUCAGGAAAAUGAAACAAAUAGGUCACCAAAAGCACUUUUUCUUAGGCAACUCAAGAAAAUUACAAUCACAGUUAUUUGGGGACAACACAUUUUAAAAAUGAAAAAUAAAAAGAGGUUCUUAUAUCAGUAAAUGCAACUGGCCCCUUUAUUCAAAGAAAACAUAAUAUGAGUAUAAUAACUAAAAUGCACUGAUUAAUAUCAUGUUCUGACCUCAUUAACGCAAAACCUUGACACAUAAUCUCAUAUCUCUAAUAAAGCUAAAAUAGUUUGAUACUUUGUUCAAAUGAAGUGUCUGGUUGUUUCUAAUUCUGUUAGCGGCUAUAAAUUUCACGGUAAUAAUGAAAUGAAAAAUCUACUUUAAAUUUAGGACUUCUCAUUUUCAGACAAUGGGAAUUCAUGAUUUGACAUAUUGUCAGCAUUUGAUAUAUUCACAUAUAAACUGGUAUAUAGCCAUAACCAAGUUCAUCAUUGUAAUACAGUCAAUCAGUGUCGGUUUAUCAAAUAAAUUGGAUAAAAAUUGAAAUCGAUUAAUAAACAACAAUAUUACACUCACCCUUGUUAAGAGGGAAAACAAAACACCCAGUUAAGAAAUGUCAAGAACCAUAACCAGAUUCAUAUUUGUAUCACUGUAAUAUGUGCUACCAUGCAGACAAUAAAAAUAAUAAUCUAGGCAUACAUAUAUCAUUUAAACAGUAAGUGUAGCAACUAACAAAUCAACAAAAAAAAUAACGAAAAGUUUUUAACAAAAAGAGACAAUCACAACCUUAUACAUAUAACCAUCAAGUUGACAGUUCCAAAAAUGCAUUUAAAACUGCAAAAUCUAAAUAAAAAGGCAUUAAUGAUGUUUAUUGCACAGUUAGCGUUCAAAUAUAGCCUCACAAACAAGCUGGUUAAAUUGGCACAGAUAAUCGACUUGGAUUAUUCCAUUGCACAUAUUUGUUUGAAAAGAAGCAAAGCAUGGUGCGUGUUCAAUACUUUACAAUUAAUUUCAUCAAUAGACAUAGUCUUUGCCAAGUUUAAUUGGAGGGAAGAACAACCUAUUCCCCUCCACCAAAAAUAAACUCCACUGAAUUCAAGCCCAGAAACUGAAUUUGAUACAAGAAAAGAGAAACAUUAAUAUCAUUUUAUGGGAUUUUAAAAUUACUACUAAGAAAGACAAAGAGUACUAAUAAUAAUAAUAAUAAUAAUAAUAAUAAUAAUAAUAAUAACUUCAAAAGAGUUGGCAGAAAUAAAACCUAGCUUCGGCCCUUAUUUUCUCUUUAGAAAUAGAAAACAAGUCCUGAAAAGGUAAGUUUUCAAUCAUACUCUCAAGCGGUCUCGCUCUGAGGAUUGACAUAGGCUAAAAACAAACCAGAUAGGAGAUAACUUAACUAUUGUUAAUGUGCAUAAGAUAAUCAUCACUAUUAAAAAUAUUUGAAAGCACAAACAAAAAUAAAUGGUGUAUUAAUAUUAUAGCCACUAGGAAUACAGAUCUAGUAGAGUGAAGACAUAAAAAAGGAAAAAAAUAUGCUUCAACAAGAAUAAGUCUAGAUCUCAGAUAUAUGGAAGUCGAAAAACAGGAUUUCAUACAUUUAAACAACAAAUCACAACAUUAACAUAAAUCUUCACAAAAUCCUGCAAAUAUUCUAUUAAGCAAAUUAUUUGUUAACAUAAAGAUAAGUAAAAGGGUAUUUUAGUAAUUUCGCACAAACAUUUAGCAAAUAACUUUAACAAGUAAAGACUGCACAAUAUCCUGCAAAGAUUCUAUUAAGGGACAGAUUACAAAAUCUAUUAGCUACAAUAUGGUAUUUCAGUAUAGUGGAUUAACCUCUUUACUACCCGUGGACAUAGUCCAAAAGCAAACCACAUAAUUCUUGUGUUCUUAUCUGUUAUGUUUUCCGUUUUCAUUGUUUGUUUAGGGUAAUAAUUGUGUUUUUUAUAACAAUAAUCUGUGGGUAACAAAACAAACAAAAAGGUAAUGUAGAUGGUGUUGAGCAGUAAAGAGCAAGAACUUAUUGCAAACAAUAUUUGUUUAAGUUUGAAUAUAUGCUCUGAUAAUGUAAUUUUUGUCCAUGUAUUACCAAAAAGUCCAUUUGAUUCCCAUGUGAUUAUGUAGCUAUUAUUGAACUUUAUGUGGUUAAGCCGCGUAGCUUUCAAGCAAGGUAGAUAGAUAAGGUAGUAUUUCGUACCUCUCCAAAAGCAGUAUUGAAUUCCCUCUGUUGGCAGGCCUAACAUACAUCGCGAUUCAUGUUGAGUCAGUUUUCCAAAUCACUACUCUAGUUCAAAAUUCAAAAGAAAUAAGUCAAUUAUGAACGAAUUAUAUUUCCUUCUACCUUUAAAAAUUGAUUUUACAAAGUACACUGCAGAUUUAAUUCCAUUACUCGCCGCUGCAGCUUCCAAGUUUGUGGUUAGAUUUGAAUGUAGUGUCUGCAUCACAAAUAUCAGAUCAUUAUAUGUAGCCAAUUGAUAAGUAUCAAUCACCGAUAAACAUCAAGAAAUGGUUGAUCUGUAAUCACCAACAAUUACUUCAAUUAAAAAUGACAAUUUUUCAGCCUCUAUGUUGGUACACCUCCACAGGGUCACAAGAGAACACAAAAUUAGGUCCUUAAUCCAAAUUAAUAGUAUCUUCAGUCAUUAAAAUAAAUAAAUAAGAAAACACUUAAGUCACAAUUACUUGGACCGAGUAUUUUCUAAAUAGAAGUCUGUAUAUCAGUAGCUACCUUGUUUUUCCUCUUUGCCUAUGUUUAAGUCAGAGAAGAAUCGAGACAAGACUGAGCACUACCAUGUGGAUGAUUGUACAAGAUCAAACUGAUAUCUAAUGACAGCAACGAUACUUCAGUACCACAAAAAAAAAUACAAAAAAAUAAUAUGCUUCCUAUAUGUAUAUGACCAACAAAUUAGUCAAGUACCAUUGUUGAAAUUGUAACAGCUAUCUGCCAAACGAUAUGCUUACAAUUGAAGAAAACCCUCCAUAUCAGCACUCUAAAAUACCAAGCUAAAAAUGAAAAGAACUAUAAAACAAAAGAAAAGAUAAACACACACCCAUUAUACAAAGAAGAUUUUUUAGGUACUAACAUUAAAAUGGCAUUUCCUUACAGCUGGGUACAACCUACCCUUUCCAAUUUUAUGGCGCGCCGUCUAGAUAGGAACUAAUCUAUAGUAUUUUCUUAUCUUUCUUAUUGAAUACCCUGCUUUGAAUAUUAAAGUUGGGCCGGGCUAGCAAAUGGAAGUCUGGGAGAUUGGGUAUAGUCCAUUAAGCUUUUCUAGUUCAUUCCAAAGAAAAAGGAAAUAUACCUGAAAAGAUUACAGAGAAGGAAACAACUUUAAUUCCGAGGUCAUCUUUUGGAAGAAGUUGUUGAUAAUUUACUUGUUAUUGUCAAAGCCAAAAUAAAAUGUCAUAGUAACUAUAUAUUUAACGAUAUUUUUUAUAGUUUUUUUAAUAAUAUUUACUAAUAUUUUAAGCUACACGUGUUACUCUGACAACAUUAGUAACUUUUUUCGUAUUAUAAGAGCAUGUAUUUAGCAACACUUUUAAACUUAUUUAAACUUUUGGAAUGGAUGGAGUACUAGAAUUUUUUAUUUUAUUUUUUGUUAAGAAUCAAGUGGGUCUUAUAUAUAGAGCCCACUAGGUCCUUUCUUCUUCAUCUGUCCUAUAUCAUUCCCACAAUACCAUUCCAAGAUAUAAUAGGCAUGAUAUUAAUAUGCAAGCUACAAGAAAUAAGGACAUACCACCAAGAUUUAUGUGCCCAUUUUGUCUAAUCUGGCACUCCAUUUAAUGUUUUCUAGUGUGAGGUAGUAAUUGCAAACACCACUUUGCCUUCAUUAGAUUAUCUUAGAAUUUCUGAUUCCACCUUUUAAUAUAAUUAAUUAAUGUGUUUGGGUGUCCUACUAAAGUGCAAUAAUACUACUAUUGUACUACUAAUGUUUUGCUGCAAUUGAGAUGAGCACAAAUAUCACAUGGUCAAACCACUUUCGCAAGUGCAUAAAUGUCACAUGGUCCAAGUUUAAUCCGACCCCUUACAAAAUAUAUUCCCUCCCUCAUAAAUUAUAUUGAGAGUUUUAUUUUAAAAAAUCUUUUGCAAAAAAGUAAUGAACUUCCCAAAAAAAAUCUCCUAAAUAAAUCCAAAUGCGAAUGGCUUCUGCCUGCCUAAAGACUACUCAUGUAACAACUGCUUCAAGAUGGGGAACCACAUCUCUAACCCCUAUCUCAAACUCAAACUUUUCACUACUUUCAAGAAUUUCUUUUAUGCAAUCUCUGUCUGCCAACAAGCAUAUGUUAUAACUAAUGCAUACCAAAGAUCCUGUGGAUGAAGAAACUCCAGAGCAAUGACCAUUAUUUAUAGACAAUACUAUAUCUUCUGGCAUAACAUUUAGUUGACUCAAGCAGUCAGAAUCUAGCAAUCUGCUAGCACGAGUUCUAGUACUCUGCCUAUGAUCAUGAACUGAUGGGCAUAACACAAACUCCGUGGAGAAGUAUUGGGGAUAAAUCUGGAUAACAAGUUCAUCUCCAUACACAGUCAAGUUCUCAAUUGACAAAUCUAGUUUUUUAAAAAAUGUGUUCAACCAUGAUAGAAUUUUCAAGGCAGCAUCCUGGAUGGCAUCAUUCUGCUUCUUAAAGGAUUCUUAGAACAACUAAAAGUGCCUCAAAUUAUGUGGAACUCUUCUCCUCUUCUACUCUUUAUGGUUGAUUUAAUUAUGUAAAUUAUUGAAUUAUCUUAUAAUUCAUGUAUGCUUACUAUUUUACCAAAAUCACCACUCAAUUCUCAUGUUUUAGCAAAAUAGCCUCAUUUAGGAAUUUUAACAAACAUGUGAUAUACAUGUUUAUAAAGCUCAGAUUUCAUGUAAAUUCAAACAUGUGAACAUCCAAACUCUAUAAAAUCCCUCCUUAUAUCUUCAGAAUCCAUCAAUACAACCUCCCACAAUAACAAUUCAUAAUAAUAACAAUCAUUAAUUAUCAAAUUUCUAUAAACUAAGCAAGAGAACAUAUCAUACCUCUUAUUUGGUAUUAUAACCAAAUCUUUACUUUCAAACUCGGAAGCCCUUCAAAGUCAGAAGCAUCCUAGCAAAACCUAACAUUUGCAUCCAAAACAUCAGAUUCCGCCAUCCCAACCAUAGAUUUGCCCAAACCAUUAAGGGGAAUAGUCGAAUCCGAGGGGUUAGAAAACCCAAUAAAUGGCAUACCAAACAGAGGAACAGAAGACUAGGGUAACCCUCUGAGAGGAGAGAGGGGCUCACCAUAUGAACUGAGAUCAGACUCAGAAGAAAGAAAAAAAUGAAAACGAUGGAUGAUUGUGACGCCCCAAAUUCAGACACCUAAUUCUAACAUCAAACUAAAAUCAUCGACAACGAAAAUAAUAUAAUAAUUUACAUUCAUAUAAUAUAAAUAUUCGCGUCGGAAGGUUCCUUAACCAUUACUACAAUAAUCCAUUACUACAAUAAUCCAGUGAUUAAACUUAAACAUAAUUAAUCAUCCUUAAUAAAUC
This 5770-nucleotide long non-coding RNA is filed under the name Panax ginseng (ginseng). Its description in RNAcentral is "long non-coding RNA (PGIN_LNC012853)". Lineage: Eukaryota; Viridiplantae; Streptophyta; Magnoliopsida; Apiales; Araliaceae. The record is from RNAcentral.